GCAUCCGUAGCUCUGCUGGAUAGAGUACUCGGCUACGAACCGAGCGGUCGGAGGUUCGAAUCCUCCCGGAUGCACCA
Molecule: transfer RNA, 77 nt
Filed under: Escherichia coli
Lineage: Bacteria; Pseudomonadati; Pseudomonadota; Gammaproteobacteria; Enterobacterales; Enterobacteriaceae
Also listed under: 2 other names
Description: tRNA-Arg
Rfam family: tRNA
About the family: Transfer RNA (tRNA) molecules are approximately 80 nucleotides in length. Their secondary structure includes four short double-helical elements and three loops (D, anti-codon, and T loops).
Source: RNAcentral